AUGCGCUGCGCGCCAGGGCUCCCGCCCUCCGCCUCCCACCGCCCCAGCCCCAGCAGGACUGACCUGCCUCUCGCUCGGGAGGAAAGGGGGCGCCUGGCGAGUGGCAGCAGGGACCCGUGGUCUCGGGGGGUGCAGGGCUCCCCCUCUUCUCAUCACUCCUCCUCCGCAAUCCUCCUCGGCCCCGGCGCGCCCCCCGCACCCCCGGCCAAGGCGAGCGUCCAGCCGCGGCGCCCCGCUCGCUACAUCUCGCCCCUGCGGUACAGCGAGGCCGCCGCUCCGCCCGCGAGGGUAGGUGGCCGCGGAGGCAGGAUAUACGGCCUCGGCCGGGCGGGGGGACCCGGGCGGGGGCCGCGGGGCCGCCCUCGCUCGCCCCAAUCGCUUCUUGCCCGCGGACUCGGGCCCGGCUGGUUGGCUGCUGGUGGCAAACGUGAUCUGGGGCAGGCUGGGUGGCAGCCCCCCCGCAUCCAAAAUAGGUCCGGGACGGGCAGGCGCAGCAGCCAAUCCGCGGCCGGGGAGGGGGCGGGCUCAGCCUCGGCCCCGCCUCUUUCCCUCGCUCGGGGCCGGGGGGCGGGGCGCGGGGGCCGCGGCGAGCGCGGGGCGACGGGAGCUGCGGGCGGGGGCGGGGGCUCGCGGGGCCCUCCCGGGCGGCCGCCGCCCCGGGUUCCCGCCGCCGGGCGCUCGCGGGGGGCCGCCUGCUCCGCGCCCCGAGCCCCCCCUUGCCCUUUGCAGGCGAGCGCGCCUGGGCGCGUCUCCUCGCGCGUCUUGAGCGUUUCCUCCAGCCUGGCCCUCGGGAAGACCCGGGCGCGGGGCUCGGGGGCUCGAGCAUCCGUCCCCGCCCCCGCCCCCGCCCCCGCCCCCGCUCGGCGCCCGGACACGGCGUGCCCACCUCGCUCUUGGACACAGCCCGCUCCUGUGGGCUCGGCCCCUCGCGCUGCCUCCGGACCCCGCGCUCCUGCAAGCCAAUGGCCCAGCCCUGACGCCACCGGCCUUAAUAACGUCCCAGUUUUGGAAGGGGUGGGGAUGGGCGGGCGGGAGGGAAACGAGGUCAGACGCGCGCCUAGGGUCCCGCAGGCACCCCCUGAGGGAGGGGCGGGGGGGAACCCGGCUUCCUCUGCCCCACUGGUCCCGGGGGCAGCACAGGGGAGACAGGUCCCCAUCGCGGGCUAA
This 1167-nucleotide long non-coding RNA is filed under the name Canis lupus familiaris (dog). Its description in RNAcentral is "lncRNA (ENSCAFG00040018485.1)". Lineage: Eukaryota; Metazoa; Chordata; Mammalia; Carnivora; Canidae. The record is from RNAcentral.